RNAcentral lists this ribosomal RNA (306 nucleotides) under uncultured Acidobacteriota bacterium. Its description in RNAcentral is "bacterial SSU rRNA". It matches the Rfam family "Bacterial small subunit ribosomal RNA", at positions 100 to 392 of the family's 1533-position model. Lineage: Bacteria; Pseudomonadati; Acidobacteriota. The record is from RNAcentral.
AAACGGGUGAGUAACACGUGGGUGACCUGCCUUCGAGUGGGGGAUAACGUCCCGAAAGGGACGCUAAUACCGCAUGACAUCCUGCCUUUGAACAGGUGGAGAUCAAAGCUGGGGAUCGUAAGACCUAGCGCUCGGAGAGGGGCCCGCGCCUGAUUAGCUAGUUGGUGGGGUAACGGCUCACCAAGGCAACGAUCAGUAUCCGGCCUGAGAGGGCGGACGGACACACUGGGACUGAGACACGGCCCAGACUCCUACGGGAGGCAGCAGUGGGGAAUUGUUCGCAAUGGGCGCAAGCCUGACGACGCA